GUUGACAGUUCGUGACAACACUUGAUCUGUGGUGACCAAACAAGAAUUAAAUCAUUAAUUAAAAUUUUAUUACAAAAUACAAAUUGCUAACCGUGGUCUGCGAGUUACCAAUUUUUACGCUAUUUUUUUACUAAAUAAUAAGUAUAAUGUAUUUUCAAUUAUUAAUUGUAAUAUUUUCUUUUCUAACAAUAAGUAAUGUUGAAGCUUCGCAAGGAUACGAUUUUGGUGACUUUCUAGCUACUAUAUUGGGAUUAGGCAUUGCUGUAAUCGGAAUUCUGGCCUGUUUGGGCAACUAUGCUAGACAAAGGGCACGAAACGAGUUUAUUUAAAGUUAAUGAUAUAUAUUUUCUCGGAAAAAUAUUAGAGGAUUCAUCAAAAAUGAUAUUCAGCCCACAAACAAGUAAAUUUAUGAAGAUUGUUGUAAUAAACAAUGUUUGUUAAAUUGCCUUACCAUUUUGCACCUAUAUGUGUAUAUAUUAUAUAUCUUUUUUUUACAAUAGCAACAAGCACAAGACUCAAAGCCCAUCAAGACUCACUAGGUGAUUUUACAAGCUGCUAGUGAACUCUCAGGUAAUAAACUAGGUCCUUGUCAUUAAAACUUAUCAUGUAAAUGGUAAAAAUGUAUUGAUCUGAAAUUAUAAUAUUUAAAUGGAAUUUAAGUAGCAGAUAUCUGCAAAAAUUUUAAAUUCCAAAUAGAAACCCUUUAUGUUAGUAAAUUAAAAUUAAUGACAGACUUAUGACAGCUAUUAAGUUUCAUUACC
Long non-coding RNA from Pieris napi, 761 nucleotides. RefSeq lists it as uncharacterized. NCBI's taxonomy places the organism in Eukaryota, Metazoa, Arthropoda, Insecta, Lepidoptera, Pieridae. The record is from RefSeq and is a predicted model, not a curated record. The transcript has 3 exons.